CUCUUCGGGGAUGAUUAAACCGGCGCACGGGUGAGUAACACGUGAGUGACCUGCCUUUUAGACUGGAACAACUUACCGAAAGGUGAGCUAAUGCCGGAUGAGUUAUAUAAGUGCAUGUUUAUAUAGGAAAAGUUGGGGAGACCUGACGCUGAAAGAUGGACUCGCGUCCCAUUAGCUAGUUGGUAGGGUAAUGGCCUACCAAGGCGACGAUGGGUAGCCGGCCUGAGAGGGUGGCCGGCUACACUGGGACUGAGACACGGCCCAGGCUCCUACGGGAGGCAGCAGUGGGGAAUUUUGCGCAAUGCUCGUAAGAGUGACGCAGCGACGCCGCGUGAAUGACGAAGGCCUUCGGGUCGUAAAGUUCUUUCGACAGGGAAGAAAAUGCCUAUAAGUAACUGUGUAUGUAUUGACGGUACCUGUAUAAGCAGCCCCGGCUAACUCCGUGCCAGCAGCCGCGGUAAUACGGAGGGGGCGAGCGUUGUUCGGAGUGACUGGGCGUAAAGAGCACGUAGGCGGUGUUGUAAGUCAUUAGUCAAAGACUAGAGCUCAACUUUAGUAAGGCUAGUGAUACUAUAAUACUAGAGUAUCAGAGAGGAUUGCAGAAUUCCUGGUGUAGCGGUGAAAUGCGUAGAUAUCAGGAGGAAUACCGUUAGCGAAGGCGGCAAUCUGGCUGGAAACUGACGCUGAGGUGCGAAAGCGUGGGUAGCAAACAGGAUUAGAUACCCUGGUAGUCCACGCUGUAAACGAUGGAUGCUAGGUGUUGGGCUUUUAAGUUCAGUGCCGCAGCAAACGCGAUAAGCAUCCCGCCUGGGGA
Molecule: ribosomal RNA, 814 nt
Filed under: uncultured bacterium
Lineage: Bacteria
Description: bacterial SSU rRNA
Rfam family: Bacterial small subunit ribosomal RNA
Source: RNAcentral